This is a long non-coding RNA of Eptesicus fuscus (big brown bat), 1712 nucleotides long. RefSeq lists it as uncharacterized. NCBI's taxonomy places the organism in Eukaryota, Metazoa, Chordata, Mammalia, Chiroptera, Vespertilionidae. The record is from RefSeq and is a predicted model, not a curated record. The transcript has 4 exons.
ACCUGGUCCCUGCCUCUCCAGCUCCCGCUGCCCCCGCUGCGGUGGGACCGAGGGGAGCUGCCCCCGCCUCCCAAGUUGCCCUGCCUUGCAGUUGACUCAAUCCUGGGCGCUGACACAGAGGCUGGGGCUGCCUGCGGUGCCACUCAGUCUGCCCCUGCUUCCUCCCCUCCUGGCUCAGCGAUGGCAGACCCCCUGCCCUGGGCCACUCACACUGGGCAGGUCGCUGUUCCCAUCACAGCCGGGGGGAAUGAAGCUUUCACCUCUCAGCCGACCUCGGAUGAUGAGGACAUUGAAAUGGACACCACGCUCCCUUGCUAUGCUUGCACCAUCAUAACUUACCCUGACUCCAGCCUGACAUUCCCGCCAGUUUACCAAAUCCAAUACAGUGUGGAGCACAGGGACCCUGCAGUCCCCCCACCGGCCCACCUGCCCUGAAGGACUGCUGCUCUCCUCAGGCCAUCCCACUGGCCCCAACCACCCCUCAGCCCACCUGAGGGACUCCUCCUGGUCCCAGAAGGGACCCUCUCUCCCCAGCGCUCCUGUUAGCCCAGAGCUACACACUGUGGCGUUGGCGUUGCCAUGGAGGUACUAGACACUGGGAGCGGCAGUUCAGUUUGCAGUGCACCUGCAGGCCCACCUGUGGUUAUGGGUCCUGCGGCUCCCGGGGAUGGUGGGAGCCCUGGGGUCAGUAUGACCACCCCAGGCCCACUCAUCCCCAGCAUCCAGAGCAUCCACGUUAGAGAUAGACCGAGGAAGGCACGCAGCACUGCUUCUACAUCUCCCUUUGGCCAUAAGACCAGGGACCAUCUGGCCGCAGCCUGGCUGCUGAGGAGGAGGAGCAGGCAUCACCCAGUGCGUGCAUACACUGCUGGUUCCACCUGAACUCCGACCCCUGGAGCCCAGCCUGUGAUUACACAGGCGGUGUGGAGAUGGGGAGGGUACCCCAGUCCCAGAUGGAGGCGCUAGUGUUGACACUGGCCAUCAGUGCCCCUGCGGCCGCCUGGACAUGGAAAACCUCCUGCACUUGCAGCAGCCACCACCGUGGAGAAUGAAGGCACUUCAUUAAAUAGUUGAUGCAUGUGUGAACAAAUGAAUAAAUGAAAGCGGCAUUCAUUGGAAUCAAGUUUUGAUGGGAUCCAGAGAUAAUACAAAACAUAAACUUCCCAGUUGAAUCAGUGGAUUUAAGGUAGUUACCUGCCUUUCAGAGAGGUUACUUAACAGCAAACACUACAGAAACGUCCUGCAGUUCAUCCACCUGCAUUGCCUUCAGUCUGAACCCUGACUCUUCAAUCACAGCGGACUCAUUUGGAAUCACACAAAUUAAAAGGAGUUUCAGAAAUGGUGUUCAAACAAACAAGAAAACCUUUCCCUGGAGAAAAUGAACUUCAUCAUCUGAUGGACCAGAACAUUGUUCAGAAGGACAAAACUCCACUUGAGAUAAGUCACGAGUUCCCCUGGUUACUACUGCAUUUUAUAAAUCAUUGAGAUUUUAUUUAGCAUAUAAUUUUAUCAAUUUGUUACCAAAUGUUAUAAUUUAUACACUUCUAUUUUGUUUACUUUAUUAAUAUCUGCCUUUCUUAUUGGACUAAGCUUAGUAGCACCCAAAUUUAAUUUUUCACUUACUGGUAACUGAGAAUGCUACACUACAGAUGAUCAGUAAAUGUUGAUGAAAAAAUGAAUGAAAUUUUUUCCGUAUCCCAGUAGAAAAAAAA